UUAAGUUAUUAAGGGCAUAGAGUGGAUGCCUUGGUGCUAGAAGGCGAUGAAAGACGUGAUAAGCUGCGAUAAGCUUCGGUUAGGUGCAAACAACCUUUAACCCGGAGAUUUCUGAAUGGGGUAACCUGAUACCGAUAAACGGUAUCGUUCCUUCCUGAAUAAAAUAAGGAAGGAUACGCAAAACCUGCUGAAUUGAAACAUCUUAGUAAGCAGAGGAAAAGAAAGAGAAUUCGAUUCCGUAAGUAGCGGCGAGCGAAAACGGACCAGCCCAAACCGGCAUCUUUGAUGUCGGGGUUGUAGGACCCCGCUGUGGGACCUUUGAAGAUAGGUGAACACUUUGGAAAGAGUGGACAAAGAGCGUGACAUCCGCGUAACCGAAAUCUGAAAAGGCCCUAGGGAGUUCCUGAGUAGCACGGGACACGUGAAACCCCGUGUGAAUCUGCGCAGACCACUGCGUAAGGCUAAAUACUAACUAGCGACCGAUAGUGAACAAGUACCGUGAGGGAAAGGUGAAAAGUACCCCUGUGAGGGGAGUGAAAUAGAACCUGAAACCAUGUGCCUACAAGGUGUAAGAGCUGGGAUUUAUCCUGGUGAUUGCGUGCCUUUUGCUUAAUGAGUCUACGAGUUAGUGUCUGUGGCAAGCUUAAGUCCUUCUGGGACGCAGGCGUAGCGAAAGCAAGUCCGAAUAGGGCGAUUUAGUUGCAGGCGCUAGACCCGAAGCGGAGGCGACCUACCCAUGGCCAGGUUGAAGCGACAGUAAAAUGUCGUGGAGGACCGAACCGAUGUGUGUUGAAAAACGCUCGGAUGAGCUGUGGGUCGGAGUGAAAGGCUAUUCAAGCCCCGUGAUAGCUGGUUCUCCUCGAAAUGCAUUUAGGUGCAGCGUUGCGUGUUGAUGAGUGGGGGUAGAGCACUGAAAGGGCUAGGGGGCAUACCCGCCUACCAACCCCUAUCAAACUCCGAAUACCAUUCAAUAGAGCGCAGCAGUGAGACAGUGGGGGAUAAGCUUCAUUGUCGAAAGGGAAACAGCCCAGAUCAGCAGCUAAGGUGCCAAAAUCAUGCUAAGUGGAAAGGAGGUGGGGUUUCUUAGACAGUGAGGAUGUUGGCUUAGAAGCAGCCACCAUUUAAAAAAUGCGUAAUAGCUUACUCAUCGAGAGACCCUGCGCCGAAAAUGAUUGGCGAUAAGCAUGAUACCGAAGCUCUGGAUGUCAGAAUCCUGCGGGAAUCUGGCGUGGUAGAGGAGCAUUGUCAUCUGCAUUGAAGCGGAAAGGCGACUGACCGUGGAGUGAUGACAAGAGAGUAUGUAGACAUGAGUAACGAUAAGCCGGGUGAAAUCCCCGGCCGCCGUAAACCCAAGGUUUCCCGGGCAACGUUUUUCGUCCCGGGGUUAGUCGGGACCUAACCCGAGGCCGAUAGGCGUAGGGGAUGGUAAGCUGAUUAAUAUUUCAGCACCUGCAAAGUGAAGGGGACGCUUACUGGAUUGCAACCAGGUUAUUGAAUUCCGAGGGGAGGCCUUGUGCCGAACCGUAUUGCAUGAAUGUGAGCCAAGAAAAGCCGACACGACUAAAAGCAGCCCGUACCGUAAACCGACACAGGUGGGUGGGUAGAGUAUACCAAGGCGCAAGAGUGAAACCUGGUCAAGGAACUCGGCAAAAUAGCCCCGUAACUUCGGGAGAAGGGGUGCCUGUCUUCGGACAGGUCGCAGUGAAAUGGGUCAACCGACUGUUUAGCAAAAACACAGCAUUCUGCUAAGGCGCAAGCCGAUGUAUAGGAUGUGACACGUGACCAAUGCCAAAAGAUUACGAUGAGAUGUUAGCACUUUAGUGCGAAGCUUUGAGUCUAAGUCCUGGUGAAUGUCGGCCGUAACUAUAACGGUCCUAAGGUAGCGAAAUUCCUUGUCGGGUAAGUUCCGACCUGC
This 1915-nucleotide ribosomal RNA is filed under the name marine metagenome. RNAcentral describes it as "bacterial LSU rRNA". It matches the Rfam family "Bacterial large subunit ribosomal RNA", at positions 3 to 1991 of the family's 2925-position model. The record is from RNAcentral.